GACUGUACGAUCUGAACUGAAGAUUAGAACUUUCACAGGCCACACACAAUUCAGUUAACUCAAACGAUGCAGCCUUCAGUUUUAAGACUGUCAGUUUUUGAACUGCAGGAAAACUGAACGUUCGCCACACACAUAAACAUUUUGCCAGGUCGUAUCGAGCGAUAAACAAUGUUUUAAAAAAAUAGAAAACAAAAAUUUGCGGCGCUUCUUGUGCUAUUAUUCUUAGUGGAGCCAAUAAAGGCAAAGAAACGUUUUUGGGUAAAAGAUUGGUUGCUACAACGUGAUAAAUGAUCUCAUGUGAAGUUGGUGCGGAAAUUAAGAACUAGUGCAACUGACGACCUUAAAAAUUACCUCAGAAUGGAUGACAUAUGCUUUAAAGAGCUUUUAAAUAUGGUUAAGCCCUUAAUAGCAAAGAAAACUACAAAAACGAGAAAAUCAAUAACAGCCGAAGAACGAUAAGUAGUAAUACUUCUAUAUCUGGCAACAGGGCGAAGCUUAGAAGAUUUAAAAUUUUCGGCAAUUAUUUCUCCACAAGCCCUGAGAAAAAUUAUUCCAGAAACUUGUCUUUGUAUUUAUAGGGCCCUAAAGAAACAAUGUUUAAGGUUACCGAAUGGGAGAAAAUUGCUCAAGAUUAUAACAGCAGAUAGAAUUUCCCCAAUUGUGGGGGUUCGAUCGAUGGUAAACAUAUAGAUAGUGAAGCCUGCGAACAGUGGAUCCUAUUACUUUAAUUAUAAAGAAUAUUUAAGUACCGUUUUAAUGGCUAUUGUAGACGCAAAUUAUGAGUUCAUUUAUGUAGAUGUUGGCUGGAAUGAACGUAUUUCGGACGGAGGCGUCAUUGAAAAUACCCGGUUUUAUGACAAGCUAUUAGCAAAAAAACUAAACAUACCGUCUAAUGAUAAAACAAUAAACAACAUGAAUUUUGU
Anthonomus grandis grandis is the source of this 923-nucleotide long non-coding RNA. RefSeq lists it as uncharacterized. The transcript has 2 exons. NCBI's taxonomy places the organism in Eukaryota, Metazoa, Arthropoda, Insecta, Coleoptera, Curculionidae. The record is from RefSeq and is a predicted model, not a curated record.